AGUCGAGCGGUAAGGCCCUUCGGGGUACACGAGCGGCGAACGGGUGAGUAACACGUGAGCAACCUGCCCCUGACUCUGGGAUAAGCGGUGGAAACGCCGUCUAAUACCGGAUACGACCUUCCGCCUCAUGGUGGAGGGUGGAAAGUUUUUUCGGUCAGGGAUGGGCUCGCGGCCUAUCAGCUUGUUGGUGGGGUAACGGCCUACCAAGGCGAUUACGGGUAGCCGGCCUGAGAGGGCGACCGGCCACACUGGGACUGAGACACGGCCCAGACUCCUGCGGGAGGCAGCAGUGGGGAAUAUUGCGCAAUGGGCGAAAGCCUGACGCAGCGACGCCGCGUGGGGGAUGACGGCCUUCGGGUUGUAAACCUCUUUUACCACCAACGCAGGCUCCGGGUUCUCUCGGGGUUGACGGUAGGUGGGGAAUAAGGACCGGCUAACUACGUGCCAGCAGCCGCGGUAAUACGUAGGGUCCGAGCGUUGUCCGGAAUUAUUGGGCGUAAAGAGCUCGUAGGCGGCGUGUCGCGUCUGCUGUGAAAGACCGGGGCUUAACUCCGGUUCUGCAGUGGAUACGGGCAUGCUAGAGGUAGGUAGGGGAGACUGGAAUUCCUGGUGUAGCGGUGAAAUGCGCAG
This 630-nucleotide ribosomal RNA is filed under the name bacterium XN-80-11. RNAcentral describes it as "bacterial SSU rRNA". It matches the Rfam family "Bacterial small subunit ribosomal RNA", at positions 60 to 693 of the family's 1533-position model. The record is from RNAcentral.